This is a long non-coding RNA of Musca domestica (house fly), 523 nucleotides long. RefSeq lists it as uncharacterized. The transcript has 3 exons. The record is from RefSeq and is a predicted model, not a curated record. NCBI's taxonomy places the organism in Eukaryota, Metazoa, Arthropoda, Insecta, Diptera, Muscidae.
AUCAAUCAUAAUUGGUCAUUUAAAUCGAUAUUUUGUGAAAUGUCUGAUAGCCUUUUAGGCUAAUGGGUGGCAUUUGUCGAAGGCAACCAUUUUGUUUUGAGAGGGAGAAGAACGAUAGGAGGCAGAGGCUAGUUCGAGCUUUUAUUUGCUCCAAAAGUCGUGGACGUUUCCAGUCCAACACAAUCUACUACGUUCUUUCUGAAAUAUUUCAAAAUGUCGUUUUCUGGUAAUCAACUUUCAUCGACGUCCCUGACAUUUUCAGUUUUCUGCUGAGUUGUUGGUGUAGUUCUAUUCACUUCAAUGCAGCUGGAUUUGGUGGGCUAUAAAAAAGAUGCUCCGAGUGUCGUGAAGAAUUUAAGUACUCGCUGGUGACUUCUUAUCUGCAACAAUUGGCUUGUGCUGAAGAUACGUUUAAAACUGUUUCAGCUAGGGGAUCUGUUGAUGAUCUUGAGUUUUAAAGAAUAUGCUGAUAUGUCAUGGACACGGAUUCGAUUUAAUUUAUGGAAUCUAAAUUGGAAAUAUA